UCGUCGCGCCGCGUGCCGCCUUCGCACCUCCCGCGCCACGCUCGCUUGGAAUCGGAACUUUUCCGUAGUUCGCCGCGGCCGCUCUGAAAUCUGAACGUGUAAACGCAGUGUUGUGAAUCUGUGGUUGCGAUUGUGUUUUUUUUUGGCGCGCAAAUUGUUUCUGACGUUUGGGAUACUGGCUGAUAAGUCUGCGUGCAGUGGAAUAGUGUCAAUACUUUCAAUGGAUUGGACAACGAAAUGGUGGAUACAAAACUUUUGACAAGUGAACUGAACUUGUUGUGAACAGUGGGUAGUUAGACGUUAGAUGCGAAGGCGGGACGCGUAGGGUAGAGGAUGGUGGACUAGCAGGAAUGGGAGCUAGUGCCAGUGAGAUGGACUGAGGGUGCGAGCGAGACGGGUAGGGUGGAUGCGGGCGCGGGACUGACGGCGCGCGGCACCGAGCGGAUGCGGCGCGGGAGUGUGUACAGUGUAAGCGAAGGCGUGGAGCGGUGCGGGUGCCCAAGAUGUGUUUUUUAUAACAGGUAGCGAGGGCGCGGGUGCGGGUGCGGGUGCGGCUGCAGCCAUGGCCG
Molecule: long non-coding RNA, 569 nt
Organism: Ostrinia nubilalis (European corn borer)
Lineage: Eukaryota; Metazoa; Arthropoda; Insecta; Lepidoptera; Crambidae
Exons: 3
Source: RefSeq, a predicted model, not a curated record